This 393-nucleotide ribosomal RNA is filed under the name uncultured bacterium. RNAcentral's name for it is "partial 16S ribosomal RNA". It matches the Rfam family "Bacterial small subunit ribosomal RNA", at positions 523 to 918 of the family's 1533-position model. The record is from RNAcentral.
AUACGGAGGAUCCGAGCGUUAUCCGGAUUUAUUGGGUUUAAAGGGAGCGUAGGCGGACGCUUAAGUCAGUUGUGAAAGUUUGCGGCUCAACCGUAAAAUUGCAGUUGAUACUGGGUGUCUUGAGUACAGUAGAGGCAGGCGGAAUUCGUGGUGUAGCGGUGAAAUGCUUAGAUAUCACGAAGAACUCCGAUUGAGAAGGCAGCCGGCUGGACUGUAACUGACGCUGAUGCUCGAAAGUGUGGGUAUCAAACAGGAUUAGAUACCUUGGUAGUCCACACAGUAAACGAUGAAUACUCGCUGUUUGCGAUAUACAGUAAGCGGCCAAGCGAAAGCGUUAAGUAUUCCACCUGGGGGGUACGCCGGCAACGGUGAAACUCAAAGGAAUUGACGGGG